AAUGGAAGUAUCCAGGCUGGCCUUUUGAAAUUCGCUUCAUAAGGAAGGGUUGCGGAAUAAACUCUCUCUGUUGCCACACGAAGAUCUGGCAUGUCAGGCUGCAGAAGUGAAGCCCUUCAGGAAAAAGGUGAAAAUAGAUGAGACCUGCUGAAAGUCCUUUUGCAUUCUCUUUCCUGCAGAAGCCUUUCCGACGUGCACAGAAGCCAUUGAGUCAAACCGCAGCGCUCAUUAGGAGGUGCAUGCCAGGGCUCCAUCUGCCCUGCUGGGAGAGGAUCAGCAAAUGAGCAGCAAAGAAGAUGUCUACAUGCUAGACAAUAGUGCCGUGCCCUCUGCCGGCAGAGGAAAGUUCUCAACCGAUUUUAAGGGUCAGAGUAAUGAAAACUUAGCUGCAAGGCACUCUGUGCAAAGAGGUUUCUCACUAAGUCAUGCUAACCAAGAAGACAGAGUACCUAUUUCCGAAAUCUCUGAUCCUCUUAAGGUUACUGAAGAACCAAAGGCACAGACUGUAAAAACUGAUCUAGAGAUACCACCUCAAGCCAAAGUCACAUCAAUACCACUAUCUUUUUUCCCAUCUAAACUACAGCAACUCCUUGUAGCUGCAGCAAGCAGGGUCUCUGAAGCAAGGCAAGCUCCAGAAACACAAUCUGUAAUUUACAUAUGGCCAGUAAUAAAGAUGCAAGAGAGUUCCAUAUCCUUCUGGCACAAUUUUUCAAAGUCUUUAAUACCAAGCAGCCCAGAUUUAACCAGACCCCGUUCUAGUCCUGAUGUACCUGGAGAUGAGAAAUGUUCCCAAAUAACCCCAAUGAAAGAGCUUGUGCAAGAAGAGCCAGAUGAAAAGAAAGCAAAAUUCUAUCCUCUCACUGUAAAGUCAUCUAACAGUGCUGUUUCAGAAGUUUUAAAGUCACUCACCAAUAUCAAGAAUAAGGAUUUUAUGUUAACACUUUCAUCUAUUAGUCCUAUUGGAGAGCAACCGGAAAUUCCUCUCUUUAAGGGAAAUGCUCUGAUGAUCUAUAAUCAUCAAGUCUACCUUCUGUAUGUAAUGAGGCAUGAAGACCUGGCAGCAGAAAUGAAAAUAUCUGGCCACCAUAUGUUGUUUAUGAAGACCAUAAUUUUUCUCAUUACAUGUCGUUCUGUCCGUGAGCUGACAUUCCAAGAUUCACAUCCACUGCUGUUGAGAAAGGAUGCUGUGAAACAGAACAUAAAAUGUCUUACAGCCUGUGCCACCCCCACAGCCCAGAAGAAAACAUCAAAUGAAAAACAUUUCUCUUCACACAAGAGGACUACAAUCUCUCAGGCCGAGGACCGCUUCUGUCUUGCUGGGAAAAGGCAGCAGGGGAUAACCCAUGAUGAUCAGUUCCUCAGCAAGACUGCAUUCCUAUCCAAAGAAGACUUGCAUAAAAGAGAUGAUGAAAAAGGACAUUGGGAUAAUGACAAGGAAAUAAGAAAGAAAUUUGGUCUUGUUAAAGGUGUAAGAGUUGUUCUCAACAGGGUAAGUGCCUGUGAGCUUAAGGAUUUGACUGCCAAACCUUCUGCACUUGAAAAGUAAACAUUAUGACAGAGAACUGAGGGAAGUACCAGACAUGCAUACCUCUCUGUACACAAAUAUAGAGUAUACCUCACCUUGAAGUAUUUAUGACAGAGCAUUAGUAUAAAUUUCAACAUUUUUGAGCAUUUAACCCCAUAACAUAAAACAUUUCCUGUUAGAGAACCUCACCACAGCUACUUCUAAAAUGUCAGGAUCUGGUGCUUCCCCCCUCCCUGGAGGAUUUUCUCCAAAAAGUGCAGGUAAAAUGCCGACUACUGCUGAAGUCUUUUCUGACUCUGCCUUCUCUUUGGCACUCAUACAGCUGCAAUGGAAAGCAGAAAAAGUGCCUGCUGAGCUCUUCCUGCUAGCAGUGGUUUGCAGUCUGUCUGUGCCAACAUGUGGCUUGUAGGCAGAAACCAUCACCCAGCCUUUCCAAGAUCUUUGAGAAUGGUCUGUUUUUGUUGUCUCUGAAUGGGAGCAUCAUUGGUGUACCCUCAGCAUUCAUGAAAAUAUACUCUGUCUUCUUGUAAAAUAUUUCAAGGUCAGGUGGAGCAAAACUCUCAAAAGAAUAUAUUAAAAAACCACAGGUACAACUCCAGGAUUAAGAUUGUUUUUUUUUUUUUCCUUUGUGCCAGUACUCAAAUGAAAGUAAUCAAACAAGUAUUGGCUGUCAUUUCUCCUAUAAUUUCCUUUCCAGUAAAUAUGCCAAGGCAGACCCUUAGGAUAAUCAAAUUUUUAUGGUGUUUCUCCAUUUAUACAUGUUAUAAUUUCUCAACAUGUAUUCCAGAAAUCGAAUAAGAUCAAAUACCUAGCAAAAUACUUAAUUUUUGUCUGUUUUAUACAAAUGCUUCUACUUGCUGGACUGCUAUUGAGAAGUUUCAGUUACACCAGUGUUAUUAAUGUUAGUUCCCAUUAACCUGAACUGUUAUUGUGACUGCUUUUCAA
Molecule: long non-coding RNA, 2470 nt
Organism: Zonotrichia leucophrys gambelii
Lineage: Eukaryota; Metazoa; Chordata; Aves; Passeriformes; Passerellidae
Exons: 3
Source: RefSeq, a predicted model, not a curated record